GCCUUUCGGGGAACUCGGAGACAGGUGCUGCAUGGCUGUCGUCAGCUCGUGUCGUGAGAUGUUGGUUAAGUCCCGCAACGAGCGCAACCCCUACGUUUAGUUGCUAACAGGUGAAGCUGAGCACUCUAGACGAACUGCCGUUGACAAAACGGAGGAAGGUGGGGAUGACGUCAAAUCAUCAUGCCCCUUAUGUUCUGGGCUACACACGUGCUACAAUGGCCGGUACAGACGGAGGCGAAGCCGCGAGGCGGAGCAAAUCCGAAAAAGCCGGUCUCAGUUCGGAUUGCAGGCUGCAAUUCGCCUGCAUGAAGUCGGAAUCGCUAGUAAUCGCAGGUCAGCAUACUGCGGUGAAUACGUUCCCGGGCCUU
This 368-nucleotide ribosomal RNA is filed under the name uncultured Pelotomaculum sp. Its description in RNAcentral is "bacterial SSU rRNA". It matches the Rfam family "Bacterial small subunit ribosomal RNA", at positions 1016 to 1382 of the family's 1533-position model. Lineage: Bacteria; Bacillati; Bacillota; Clostridia; Eubacteriales; Desulfotomaculaceae. The record is from RNAcentral.